UUGGUGAACCAGCGGAGGGAUCAUUUA
Molecule: ribosomal RNA, 27 nt
Filed under: Trichoderma asperellum
Lineage: Eukaryota; Fungi; Ascomycota; Sordariomycetes; Hypocreales; Hypocreaceae
Description: partial 18S ribosomal RNA
Source: RNAcentral